This is a long non-coding RNA of Ictalurus punctatus (channel catfish), 1136 nucleotides long. NCBI's taxonomy places the organism in Eukaryota, Metazoa, Chordata, Actinopteri, Siluriformes, Ictaluridae. The record is from Ensembl.
AUCCCAUUAGCGCCUGACAGUCGGUUCGCACAUUCGACUCUUUUCGAGGAGUCGUUCAGGAUUCGUUUGCGGCUGCUGUGGGAUGGUGAGCAGGAACAUGGGGGAGGAGAAGAGAAGGGAAGACAAGAAGCGGCUCAGCUCGGGGCGUAGUCGGCCAGCCACGGUUUGAAUGAAAGGAGACGGAAAUACGAAGAACAGGAGUAACUGAUCCUGAAAGGAAAUUGACUCGGAACGGAUCCGGUUCUGCUCGAAGCGGAACCGAGAAGGCGCACGAGGAAAUUUUAUUAUUAAUUUGUUUUGUGCCCCCCCCCUUUCGGUUUUGUGAGUUUGUGCAAAGUGGAAAGAAGGAGGACUGCAGUUUAAAGAGGGAGCUUUGGGAGAAAUUGGAGGUUAUGUCUAAACUCUUGUGCAGAGAGUCCUGGUAAAGAAACCCGUCGGUUUUUCUCCGAGCUUCUCCUGUUGUUUAAUGCAGUCCAUGUGACUCGGUGUCCCAGCACUCGGCUGAUGAAUGUGAGCGAUAGUAUUCCCACUCAUUCACUCACACACUCUCCUAAUGAUCUGGGAACAUCUCAUGGAUGGUGUGUGUGCGCAUUCCUGCAAUAUACUAAGCUGUAGCAUCUGCUUUGACCUAAAGGCUGUUCGGAUGUUAGACCAGACGCGCCGGAUUUGACUCGGUUUUGGAAAAGCUGCCUCUUGUUUGGGUUUUUUUUGGGCUUCUCUUUGUGUUACAGGAUCCUCACCAGUCCACUAUAGUCCUUCCUGAAGAAAGGCCUCAGAGCCUCGGACUCUCCCUGAGUGGCGGCGGGGGCGUCAUGCGGCCCUGCCCGCGACCACCACCACUCCUACCCCGAGGCUUCUAGGCCUGCGCAGCUUUAGUCGUCUGACCAGUCCAGUAACCUGAGCGCAUUAGUGCACACCAUUACAAUAGCUCACGUUGUGUGUUUGAUGCGCCCCCCCAUAUAUAUUUUAAAUAUAAGUAGGCCCAUACAUAAUUUUAACAAUGGUUAAACUAGAGUUCUUUGCAAGUGAGCGUCCUUCAGUUGUAAUGGCCCAGGUCAGGCUUGGAAUAAUGGGUAACUCAAUAUCUCAACCAUAACCAACUUGAGUGACAUUUUGGAUUAUGAAACAAACCCAAC